UGGAAGACUGCCGUGUCACAGCCUACCUCAGACAAUACGUUGCCGUGCCUACCUCAGACAAUACGUUGCCGUGCCUACCUCAGACAAUACGUUUUUCUUUAGAGACAUUGAAAGACUGGUGGUCUUCUGGACGGGAUGGUCUGUUGGCAGGGGCAAUGCUGACUGUACUUUGAAACUCCCCCUAGGGACAAGAAUGUAUGACACCUUCAAAGAAGCUAUGAAAGCAGCGCUGAAAUAAAGCAAUUAUGGUUUUGGCUUGAUCUAGUGUUGUUUUCUGCAAGUUCAAUGCAGUAUAGUCAACAAUUUCAGUGUUUCAGACGGUGACCAGAGUUCCAGUUGUUCAAUGAAUAAACUAUGCAAUGAGAAA
Long non-coding RNA from Alosa alosa (allis shad), 367 nucleotides. RefSeq lists it as uncharacterized. The record is from RefSeq and is a predicted model, not a curated record. NCBI's taxonomy places the organism in Eukaryota, Metazoa, Chordata, Actinopteri, Clupeiformes, Clupeidae. The transcript has 2 exons.